CUGGUCGGCUGUCUGUCGGAGCAGACCACACUAAAACACCCCACAGCGGUUACCACUCCCUGGCAAACGUUGGUCAAUACACGUAUUGUUCCUCAUUUGGCAGCAGCGGCAGACAAUGUGUGCGCACGGGCGUGUGCGAUGCACGCUUAUUUGAAUUUCUGCAUUGCGCUGGUAAAAGUUUCUCGCUUGUUUUGUUUCCAGGCCUUCACUCAGGAGUCGGGGGUCACAUGUUUUCCUCUCUUCUGGAGCGGGGUGUGGCUGAUGCUGCUCGGUCUGUGCAUGCCUUGUGUUUGCAGCGCGAGGGAGCCCACUGUCAUGUGACUGCAGGAUGGAGCAGGCCUAAGUCUAUUAGAAUUACAGAAAUUCCUCAGAAUGGCAGCGUAUCAAAGCUGGGGUCAGCUCCAGCUGCACACGCUUUCCCUUUAAAGAUCUGGAAUGCCAUUCCUAUUUUCAUCUGACAGCCUCAUCUCGUUUCAAAUCCACCUUCAUUAUAUUUUUUUCCUCCUCAUGAUGUGAUAUUCAGGUGACGCAGACUGAGUUCAUUGGACGGUUUUAUCAAGCUCACGCCUUCAUUCAUGCAGGAAAUUCCAAAAGGCCUUUCUGACUCUUUUCACCACCUUUGUUCCAAUCGCACAGAUGGUAAACAUGUUCGUUAUCAGUACUUUAAGACGAGCACAAUAUCCAGCAAGCUUCGGUGAUAAAGUUGAAUUCGUCAGUGCAGGAACACCGCCAGGCUUUAAGGCGUAUCGAAAAGAUAACGAUCGACAUUGCACCUUUGCUGGAUGGACUCAGGGCUUGGUUGUGUGCGCACCUGGACCUUUAGGAUUCCUGCAUUAUCUAAGGAAAUGACAUCUAUAAAAUCUGUCUUACAGCUGCAUUUGUUAGUUUCUGAGGUUUGCAGAUUACAAGUAGUUCGGUUGUAAUAUACAUACCAAAAUGAAUGAAGACCGGGGUUCAAAGAGCUGGAUGGAACACGUAGCAGUGUGUUUCCGAACUAUUUCAACGCUGGCGAUUGCUUUGUUAUUUUUAAAUACAGUGUUUCUGGUAGAAAGUGACACAAAUACACAGGUUAAAAAUGUCAGCACAAUAUCCUGGAAUUACGCUCCUAAUUCCACUUCCUUUCAAACACUGAUACUGCUACUUUAACACUGACAGAGAUUAUCAUUGCUACUUUUCAUUUCAUGGUGGAAACAUUUUAAUUAUUUGCUUGACCAGAUCUCAGCUGGUUCUGGGUGUGCUCUCCAGUCCUCCAGUCUGCUGGUGUCAGCUGCUCCAGUGUCAGAUCCACAUGGCGCUCUGUGUGAUUGUCUCUGGGUGCUGCUGAGCGCACUUCGUCUUUCACCUGCAUUUCCUCUCACUGACCAUGUCGGCUGCAUGUUUCACACAACACAGACACAUCUGUUUUACUUCGCUUUCCUCUCUGUUUCUGCUUUAAAAAAAAAAAAAAGUGAACAUUAAGUAACAGUAAAGAAACUGAAACAAGAAAUGAGAUCUUCUGAGCCAUAAUCGAGGCUGUUUUUGUUUUCUUCCCACUGGUGUAUGAAAGCACAGCUGAGUUUCUUGAAAUGCGACUAUAGCUUUGAUUUGGAUGCAGACCUACUGCUUCUUUCCAAUGAGAUUUUUUUUUAAGGAUUAUAUAACAUUUGUAUUUUGUAGAUAAUGCUUGUCCAGUAUCUGGCAAUAACCUGCUGGGGUUUUUGUUCAGUCCGUCACCUCAAAUGUCUUCAACUACAAAAUGUUGAAGUGUUCUACAUUUUUGUGCUUUUUUUUUAAUUGACUUAAUUUAAUCUCUGUGGUUUUUCUUGCCUAGGUCAUUCAGUAAGCAACAGUUCCCUAUUUUGUUGGAUGAGUCGUUAUGCUCACAGAUAUUAUUACUUAUCGUGAAGCUCUUUUUGAUGUGGCUCGGAAUUCAAAGUUAGGUCAGUGACUGCAAGCUCCUCAGUCCUCGAUUCAGUGUGAAACAACUUCUUACUCGACAAUUAACGUGUGUUUUCAUAACUUGAAACUGAUUUCAGGAAAUUCCCUUUCCAGAACACAUUAGUAAAGAAUCCUCUGACGUUUGCCUUCCUGUCAUUUAGCAAACUGUUGCUUCGCUCAUCUCAGAGGACAAACAUUUGCUCCGUCCUCCAUCCUCUUUUCCACUAGAAAUGUUUUUUUUUUUUUUUUUUUUUUUUUUUUUUUUUUUGCAUGAAUUUGUCUGAGCAGCUGAUCUAACCGAUUGGGAGUCAUCCAUACUGAUUCCAGGUCCUUUUCCUUACAGAGAGGUUGUGUAUGCCUCAGAGAGCUUGAAGACACCCGAGUCUGAAGCGCUCGGCGCGCACGAGCGGCAUCCUAACGUCUCACCAUGUUUUGA
This is a long non-coding RNA of Salarias fasciatus (jewelled blenny), 2353 nucleotides long. RefSeq lists it as uncharacterized. The record is from RefSeq and is a predicted model, not a curated record. Lineage: Eukaryota; Metazoa; Chordata; Actinopteri; Blenniiformes; Blenniidae. The transcript has 3 exons.